Long non-coding RNA from Xiphophorus hellerii (green swordtail), 1210 nucleotides. RefSeq lists it as uncharacterized. The transcript has 2 exons. The record is from RefSeq and is a predicted model, not a curated record. Lineage: Eukaryota; Metazoa; Chordata; Actinopteri; Cyprinodontiformes; Poeciliidae.
CCUUUUCUUCUGGCUGCUUCCAGGCAGCGAUUUCCACGCGACGUCACAGUUCCUCUGUGUGAGAGAGGCACCGUGAACGAGGAAGUGUAAUAGGAAAGAUUAGAGGGGCUGCAGUAAGCUGUAAAACAUGGAACAGUCUGGCUCCGGCUGUGACUCAACAGGAAGCGGCAGAGCUGGAACAGAAGCUGAAGGACAGCACAGAAAGGCGUUUUCCUGGAAGAAACUGGAAAGUUGAUUUGUUGAUCUGGACCAAACAAAGCUUCAGACUUCGAACCAUUGGUAUAAAUAAAUCCUCAGGGCAACAGACACUCCAAAUAUGGAGCUGGAUCAAAGCACCCCUUAAAGUGUUGGAGAAGCAUCAAAUUAAAUCCUCCGAUCAUCGCUGCUCUAUUGCAAUAGCACUCUAAGUACGCCCAUAUAAGGUCAUAUAAUGACUGAGGACCUAAACCUGUGUAUGCAAUGUAAAUCAUAAACCUGCACAAUGCAUUCACCACAUGCUGUUUGGAAAUCUGGGUAGGCAAUCACCCACUGUCCCAGAUGAUGUGUUUGCUCAAAGGAAGACUCAUAGUUUUAUAAAUUUGACUAAUUUCAUGUUGAGCAAUGAGAUGCGUGGUUGGACCUGUGACCUCGGUGUGACAUAGUGAUGAAACUGCUCCGUUUUUUUUCCCAUUGGAGCCCCAAAGCUUCUCAAACACAUUUUGUCACCUCAAUGUGUUUGAGGUUUUCUGCUGGUUUCCACUGACUAGAGCACUUUCUUUCCCCUAUAUGACUUUGGCCAAACUCCAAGGAGGAGUUUCGUGCAACAGUGGUUGUCUUCUGGCAAAGUACAACUCGAAAGUCCCAGCUAAUAGCUGUCCUGUUCUGUUCUCACAGCUGAACUACUAGGUUUCAGCAGAUCCUCCAGAGCAGUUACUUGGCUGCUUCUCCAAGUGAUGCCCUCCUCGUCCCGCCAGUAGAAAGUAGAUAGUCUGGUCUUGGUGUGUUUGAGACCUCCAAAACGUUCUCCCUGACCUGUUGGCUGUGUUCGAAUGUCGUUGUUGUUUCUUCACUGAUGUUUUUUUUUGUUUGUUUUGUUUAACAAACCUUCACAUCAAACCCCAACAAACUACUGUACAUUGAGGAUGGUGGUUGUAAUAUGACCACAAAAAAAAAAAAAUUCAAAGGAUAUAAAUACUAUUGCAUUCCUCUGCACGUAUUUGUCUUCUUAAAU